CUCAGCUCAACACCUACGUCUACCACCUAGUCACCAGUCAAGGCAAUUCAUAAAAUCAAACCAGACAAAAAAAAAAAAAAAACACCUGAAGUUCAAGAGGUUUACUGUACAACAGGCAGGUAGAAAUGUAUUAUGCAUCUGAAAAUAAGACCAUGUUGUACACCAUAAGUAUAUAAUUUUUGUCAAAUAAGAAAUACAAUUUUUAAGCAAAAUAUAAUUAAUUAAUUACAAAACACAAGACCUAAUCUCUAGCUUGGAUCUGAGAUAUGCUUCCUCUGUACCUACUUCCUUUCUUGGCAGUGCAACCCGUUAACCUGAAUUCUACAUGAAAGAGCUUUUACAACGUCAGGAAAUGAAGCUCCUCUCAUGCAUCUGAAGCAUGCAAUGGAGCAGAGAAAGAGCACACACUUAUGACAUUAGCCAUGGCAUCCUAAAGACGUUCAAGACUACCCAGAACCACCUGAGAAUCGAUUUCAUGUAGGAUUACGUAUCUCUGCCUCGAAUUACACUAUAUUGGUAUAUACAGUAAUAUAUUUUAGGAAAAUUGCGAAUACUUUAUUUUUAUAAUUUGAAUUGUUUUCCCAUUAACACAUACCACCAUUUAUGAGACGCUCUGAGUGACUGGCUGUUGUAAACGUCUUACUGACUGCCUCCCCACCACUGCCACCUACCUGGCUCCCUUCCUUACGUUUUCA
Molecule: long non-coding RNA, 695 nt
Filed under: Homo sapiens (human)
Lineage: Eukaryota; Metazoa; Chordata; Mammalia; Primates; Hominidae
Description: HSALNT0278716
Source: RNAcentral